This 471-nucleotide ribosomal RNA is filed under the name Triticum aestivum (bread wheat). Its description in RNAcentral is "partial small subunit ribosomal RNA". The record is from RNAcentral. Lineage: Eukaryota; Viridiplantae; Streptophyta; Magnoliopsida; Poales; Poaceae.
AUGCUGCAACAUCUGGAUCUCCAAGAUGAUGAGCUCGAUGAUGUGCUGGUAGGGGAGGAAGAGGUAAAGAAGUAUGCAGCGGAUGCUAGGUGGCUGGCGAUCGCAAAGGUGAACACAUCCCGUACUUUUAGUCCGUUGGUGAUGUUUGAGUGCAUGAAGUCGAUCUGGUCCCUUGCGCAAGUUCCUAAGUAAAGGGAGGCGGGCGAAAACUUAUUGAUCUUCCAAAUGUGUUGUCUCGGCGAUUGGAAGAAGGUGGUUCAUGGCGGUCCUUGGCUAUUCAGGGGGAUGGGGAUGCUGAUUGAGGACUAUGACGGCAAGAAGGAACCUACAUCCUUCGAGUUUGAUGGACUUUACGUGUGGGCGCAGAUCCACAACAUACCAGAAUUAUACCGCAAAGUAGAGGUUGUUGAUCAACUAGCUCGCCGCAUCGGGCGGGUGAAAGAAAUCCAGCGCCCCCCGGUUAUUUUAUGA